CCUACGGGUGGCAGCAGUGAGGAAUAUUGGUCAAUGGUCGCGAGACUGAACCAGCCAAGCCGCGUGAGGGAUGAAGGUCCAGAGUAUCGUAAACCUCUUUUGUCAGGGAACAAAGGCGGGGACGUGUCCCCGGAUGAGUGUACCCUACGAACAAGCAUCGGCUAACUCCGUGCCAGCAGACGCGGUAAUACGGAGGAUUCGAGCGUUGUCCGGUUUUAUUGGGUUUAAGGGGUGGGCGGUCGGUCGGUUAGGUCGGCGGUCAACGCCGGGGGCACAACCCCGGACCGCCGUUGAAACUGGCAGUCUCGAGUGGGAGAGAAGUAGGCGGAAUGCGCGGUGUAGCGGUGAAAUGCAUAGAUAUCGCGCAGAACUCCGAUUGCGAAGGCAGCAUGCCGGAUCCACACUGACGCUGAGGCACGAAAGCGUGGGUAUCGAACAGGAUUAGAUACCCCAGUAGUC
Molecule: ribosomal RNA, 459 nt
Filed under: uncultured bacterium
Lineage: Bacteria
Description: partial 16S ribosomal RNA
Rfam family: Bacterial small subunit ribosomal RNA
Source: RNAcentral